RNAcentral lists this long non-coding RNA (1157 nucleotides) under Takifugu rubripes (torafugu). RNAcentral describes it as "lncRNA (ENSTRUG00000032342.1)". The record is from RNAcentral. Lineage: Eukaryota; Metazoa; Chordata; Actinopteri; Tetraodontiformes; Tetraodontidae.
AAGCCAAAACACACCAGUACAUGCUUACAUGGAUCCUAGCUAUGAUGACUAAAUUUGACUAUUUAGGAUGAAUAUAUGAGGAGUCAUAAGCUAAAACGUUAUUAAUACACACACACAGCCUGAACUAUUGGCCGGUUAAGGCUGAGACUUAGUAAAUUCAGGGUUUUAACUUUAGCAUUGAAUUUUUUAACCCUUCAAUAUGUAGUAGGUGAUCACAUGAUGUGAGCAGAGCUUGAACUCCUGCCUGAAGGAGCGCUCGUUCAAGCGAUGAAGAAUUCUCUUCCACCUGGAAGUUGAGAAGGGUCAUCCACAAGACAACCUUGAGGGGGGGAAAAUGCUACUUUUCCUGGCCAUGAAACAAGCACUGAUUGUCUCUGAAAGAGUGAAGUUGUGUCUGUGUUUCUCUGUGUGUGUAUGUGUUAUCACAGAAGACAUUAAGAUUUGCUUUCAUUUACACUAAAAUGAAAGUACAACUAGUCACUCUUCCUUCGAUUCAUUCCCCAGUUAAAUCAUCUGCAGAAGUCAGAGAGUGAACACUGAUUUCUGCGACACACUCACGCUUAUUGAUUCUUCGGCCGACAGUGAUGGCGUCUAAAACGUUAAUUUUCUUCGACCUGGAGACCACGGGACUACAAACUGAUGUGUGUAACAUCAUCCAGGUGUCAGCCAUCUGUGAAGGACGUGCCUUUAAUGGCUACGCUGUUCCUGAGCUACCCCUCAGCGAACAUGUGAGGAAUCUCACAGGCUUCACCGUUGAUGGUCCCUACCUGUAUCGGCAUGGUGUUGUAAUGCAAACCCUCUUGGUGAAAGAUCUUCUUAGGCGUUUUAUCGACUACCUGAGUCAGUUCUACUGUCCACUACUGGUGGCCCACAAUGCAGAAAUGUUUGAUGCUCCUGUGAUCAUGAGAGUGAUGGCAGAGAACGGCCUUCUGCAGAGGUUCAGGCAGGUGGUGUCUGGCUUUGUGGACACCUACCAGCUAAUUAAGCGCCUCAGUCCUUGUUUACCUGGCUAUUCCCUAACGGCCCUGGCCAGGCAAUUCCUUGGCCAACGAUUUGAUGCACAUAAUGCUCUGGAGGACGCCAAGAUCCUGGAGAAGCUAUUCAUCACCUGGAGGCCUUCUAAGCACCAUGUUGACAUGUGUACCUCCAGCAUUUGA